This 584-nucleotide long non-coding RNA is filed under the name Rattus norvegicus (Norway rat). RNAcentral's name for it is "long non-coding RNA NONRATT031491". The record is from RNAcentral. Lineage: Eukaryota; Metazoa; Chordata; Mammalia; Rodentia; Muridae.
CUUAGACUUAGCAAUGGAUGUGUUCUUUUUUGCUCUGGGGCAGGAAGAACGUGGUUUUACCACAACACCAACUACAAUGCAAAUUAAACUAACAGAUAUUUGAUUCUCUUUAUAGAAAUAAGAAAUUUAAGAUAAAACGUCAUUCCAUUGGCUUACCUGUGGAUUGGUUAUGAAGUGGAUGCAUUCAGGUCUGACAACACUGCUGCUUCCAAGUCCAUUUACCUAUACUGGCCGAUGGGAAAUGUUGCCACCUUUCGUUCCAUGGAACAGACCAUUUGGUGGUAUUUCUUUCUACAAAGAUCCAUUCGUGAAGCCAAGAAACACAACAAAAUGGAACUUCCCGUGCGGAUAUUCACUGAGGACAUUGCAGGCUGUGACACUCCUCUGUAUGUAACAGCAACAAACUUUGAUAUGGUGAAUGACAUAAUCAGCAAGUUACUACCAAUGAUAAGAAAGCAUGUAAGUUACUUUCAAUCGAUUUUGAGUUAAAAUUGAAUUUUGCUUUUGAGAUUCACAUAUGUGGAAAUGUGUAAAUACAGAUGAAAUUUGAUCAUGAUACAUUUACAAAUCAUAUUUUACAAAUG